This is a long non-coding RNA of Raphanus sativus (radish), 657 nucleotides long. RefSeq lists it as uncharacterized. The transcript has 4 exons. The record is from RefSeq and is a predicted model, not a curated record. Lineage: Eukaryota; Viridiplantae; Streptophyta; Magnoliopsida; Brassicales; Brassicaceae.
CUUCCACUUUCUUCUCCACCAUCCGUAAAUCUUGCCAUCAACUUCAUAUCUUCAACUACCUUUCUUAUAAAAGAUAUGAAAACAAAUCGCAGUAAAAGAAAUCCAGUUUAGUUUUACCACAGGUAUUGCUCUAGCUAUGAGCAAGAUGAAGCUUGCUUUCACUCCUAUUGCUCAGUUACAGGCAGUUACUGAAAACGAAAUCUGGAAAAUUAAGGUUCGAGUUGCCCGUAUGUGGAGAUUUCAGAACGGCGAUAAGACCGGAGAUGUUGGUGGAGUCGAUUUAAUACUUGUGGAUGAUAAGGGAGAUCGUAUACAAGCUUGCAUUAGAGGAAAAUUGAUACCCAAGUUCGAAAAUGAUUUGGGAGAAGGAGAGUGUUGUAUUCUGAUGAAUGUUAAGUUGUCUCCUAAUCUCGGGAAUUACUGAGGAACUGGACAUCCUUUCAAGAUAUUUUUCACUUGGUCAACAUACCUUAAGAAGAAUUGCGAGGAGAUUCCAAACGAUUCACUUCGUUUUGAUUGUGUAUCUUUUGAUGAUCUGCUUUCUCAGAAUUGUGAUGAAAAGGUGUUUGUAGAUGUAAUUGGAGAAAUUGUUGGACCUUGCAAUCUCAAAGAAAUUACUGUUCGUAAUGCUCCAUGUAAAAUAUUGAAUCUUCCAAC